UACGAAGGGGGCUAGCGUUGCUCGGAAUCACUGGGCGUAAAGCGCACGUAGGCGGCUUUCUAAGUCAGGGGUGAAAUCCUGGAGCUCAACUCCAGAACUGCCUUUGAUACUGGGAGUCUUGAGUUCGGGAGAGGUGAGUGGAACUGCGAGUGUAGAGGUGAAAUUCGUAGAUAUUCGCAAGAACACCAGUGGCGAAGGCGGCUCACUGGCCCGAUACUGACGCUGAGGUGCGAAAGCGUGGGGAGCAAACAGG
Molecule: ribosomal RNA, 253 nt
Filed under: uncultured bacterium
Lineage: Bacteria
Description: partial 16S ribosomal RNA
Rfam family: Bacterial small subunit ribosomal RNA
Source: RNAcentral